CGGAAUAUAGCGCAGUCCGGUAGCGCAUCUGCCUUGGGAGCAGGGGGCCGCAAGUUCGAAUCUUGCUAUUCCGACCA
This 77-nucleotide transfer RNA is filed under the name Fusobacterium mortiferum. RNAcentral describes it as "tRNA-Pro". It matches the Rfam family "tRNA". From Rfam's summary of the family: Transfer RNA (tRNA) molecules are approximately 80 nucleotides in length. Their secondary structure includes four short double-helical elements and three loops (D, anti-codon, and T loops). Lineage: Bacteria; Fusobacteriati; Fusobacteriota; Fusobacteriia; Fusobacteriales; Fusobacteriaceae. The record is from RNAcentral. RNAcentral also lists the same sequence under 8 other names.